This 420-nucleotide long non-coding RNA is filed under the name Parus major (Great Tit). RNAcentral describes it as "lncRNA (ENSPMJG00000015730.1)". The record is from RNAcentral. Lineage: Eukaryota; Metazoa; Chordata; Aves; Passeriformes; Paridae.
AUAUGCUGCUAUUCCAGCUUUUCUUCUAGAGGAAUCUCUGAUCCGGCCCAAUACCUUGCUGCUUCUAGCAUGUGUAGAACGCUUACAUGUCAUGUAAGACAGUGCCACUAUUUUAAACUUUACAUGCUUCUUUCUUCCUCCUAAACAAGUUUAGUCAAUGUUUUCUUCCUAGAGCUGGAACAUCUAAUACAAAUUAUAAAGGGAAAGAUCCUGCAAACCUUUUGGUGAAUGAUGGCAGCAUUCCAGUACCGACACCCCAGAAAGUUUUCCAGAACCCAUCAAGUUCAUUUGGGCUACUGUGGAAGAAAUCUUUCUCUUUGUCCUGCUUUUCAGGAGAAAAUGCUUCAGGAUUCAUUGGCUCAGACAAGAAAAUUGAUGGAUAAUGUGUUACUUGUGAUCUUUGUUUUUCUUGAUGCUUGA